RNAcentral lists this ribosomal RNA (490 nucleotides) under uncultured bacterium. RNAcentral's name for it is "partial 16S ribosomal RNA". It matches the Rfam family "Bacterial small subunit ribosomal RNA", at positions 28 to 507 of the family's 1533-position model. The record is from RNAcentral.
GAUGAACGCUCGCGAUAGGCUUAACACAUGCAAGUCGAGGGGCAGCAUGGUCUUAGCUUGCUAAGACUGAUGGCGACCGGCGCACGGGUGCGUAACGCGUAUGCAACUUGCCUCACAGAGGGGGAUAACCCGUCGAAAGACGGACUAAUACCGCGUACACUUGGGAUAGGGCAUCCUGACCCAAGGAAAUGAAAUUCGCUGUGAGAUAGGCAUGCGUCCCAUUAGCUAGUUGGUGAGGUAACGGCUCACCAAGGCGACGAUGGGUAGGGGAACUGAGAGGUUGAACCCCCACACUGGUACUGAGACACGGACCAGACUCCUACGGGAGGCAGCAGUGAGGAAUAUUGGUCAAGGGGCGAGAGCCUGAACCAGCCAAGUCGCGUGAAGGAUGACUGUCUUAUGGAUGGUAAACUUCUUUUAUACGGGAAUAACAAGAGCCACGUGUGGCUCCCUGCAUGUACCGUAUGAAUAAGCAUCGGCUAACUCCGUG